This 135-nucleotide ribosomal RNA is filed under the name Laccaria sp. RNAcentral describes it as "partial large subunit ribosomal RNA". Lineage: Eukaryota; Fungi; Basidiomycota; Agaricomycetes; Agaricales; Hydnangiaceae. The record is from RNAcentral.
CGGGAAAAGCUCAAAUUUAAAAUCUGGCAGUCUUUGGCUGUCCGAGUUGUAAUCUAGAGAAGCAUUAUCCGCGCUGGACCGUGUACAAGUCUCCUGGAAAGGGGGAUCAUAGAGGGUGAUAAUCCCGUCUGUGAC